Ictalurus punctatus (channel catfish) is the source of this 1595-nucleotide long non-coding RNA. RefSeq lists it as uncharacterized. The transcript is spliced from 3 exons. NCBI's taxonomy places the organism in Eukaryota, Metazoa, Chordata, Actinopteri, Siluriformes, Ictaluridae. The record is from RefSeq and is a predicted model, not a curated record.
UCUGUAUGACGUAAUGAAUCAGCAAUCAUAUUAAUGUUAAAUGAAUGAAUUGAUUUUGAGUUGAUUUAUUAUUAAAUGUCAGAUUUGUUUAGUUUAAUUUAUUUCAUUUGAUUUGACUUUUUUUUUUUUUUUUUAGAUUUCAUUAGCUGCAGGGAUCAUUGUGGUUAUAACGGUACGCUCUGUUCCUGCACCAGCUCCUGUCAGUCCUAUGGAAACUGCUGCAAUGAUUAUAACGAUUAUUGUUUCAACACGACCACCACCACCACCACCACCACAACACCAGGUAAAAAUGUAAUUGUCUUUAACUGGUGUAUUCUCAGUAAAACUGCUCUGUCUCCUCUAUUAUUUCUCUUCAUUUGGAUCUAUAAAUCGUGUCACCAAGGAUGCAGUUAUCGCAGGAAACGAAGCACUAGCUCUGAUCACCACACUGAGGUCCUCACCCUUGGGCCAAUCACACUCAAAGGUCCAGAGGAGGCUGAGGCCAAGACGGAGGACAAGGAGUGAACUCACACUGACUGAUUAAUUAAUCACUUAAAUAUAGUUAACACUGAAUAAAUUUGCUAAUAGCUUGUUGAGCAAUCUCCCUUUCUUAAAUACUCACCUGUUGAUUUUUGGGGGGGAUUUAAACUGUGUUUUUGACCUAAAUUUAGAACUGUCUAAUCCCCGUAAUCUGAAUCAAUCUGCUAUGUCUAAAACAUUUUCCGAUUCUAUGUGUCAGAACAGUUUUGUUGAUCCCUGGAGAUUCCGUAACCCCUCUCUAAAAAAGUUUUCUUUCUUCUCCCAGGUGCAUCGUUCCUAUUCGAGGAUUGAUUAUUUUUUUAUAGACAGCACUCUUGAUUCGUGUGUAGUUUCUUCUGACUAUCUGGGUAUUGUAAUUUCUGAUCACGCUCCUCUACAAUUAGAUAUUCAUCUUUCCAUUUAUAAACGUGUCCCAUCACCUCGGAGAUUUAAUUCUCUUCUUUUGGCAGACACAGACACUUCCUACUUAAAUUUUUGUGCCUGUGGUUGGGUUUUAAAAUAUCUAUAUAACCAGCGAUAGUUAUUGGAUAGCCAUGAUGAGCCGGUGGCGGGGUGUGUUUUCGGUGAUUGUACUUUUUAAUUUUGUUUUCCUUUGUUUGCAUAAAAAGAAAAAAACUGUGAAUUAAUUUAAUACAAUGCUGAUCUAAAAUAUAAUAAUUACAAGACAGCAUAGGAUGAGGUAAAACUCUAGAACCAGCUAAAAUACAGUAGUGGCAAUUGUGAAAGUAGACAAAACAUGUCAGUGCUUUGAAGGAUGUGAAUUGGAACAGAAUAAUGUUAUUCAAUUGCGAAUCUGUUUUUAGAGGAUUUAAACCUAACAUGGUGAACAAAUUAUAUUAUACAAUUCACGCAAUUUGACUGGGGUUAUCUCAUGUAGUGUGGCAAGUAAUAAUCUGGAAAGACCUUUGUAAUAUCACAGUCUAAAACUGGAUUUAAAGAGAAGCAAAUCAGUAAAUGAAUCACAUGAAAAUGAAUCACAUGAAAAUGAAUCACAUGUAAAUGAAUAAAUAAAUAUGGGAAGAAAAAAAAAACACUGAAUAAUUUGACUAACCUUCCUCUAUUAAAGCAUUAUCUAA